Molecule: non-coding RNA, 1595 nt
Organism: Agelaius phoeniceus (red-winged blackbird)
Lineage: Eukaryota; Metazoa; Chordata; Aves; Passeriformes; Icteridae
Source: RefSeq, a predicted model, not a curated record
CCCUCCAGAGAGGGAGACUCCGCCGCCUCCGUGGGCAGCUGUUCCAGAGCCCUGGCACCCUCUGCGUAAAAUUGUUCCUCAUCUGUGUUUUAGUUUAUGGCUCUUCCAAGGAUGUCACCCCGUUUGUCAGCCCUGGGGACAAUUAUUAGCCCUUGAGCAGUGCUGUCUGUGGCUACAGCCAGGAGGGCUCCUGAGAAGUUCCUGCUGAUCGUGGUCUUGAGAAAGAAAGGGCAGCGCCAGGCAGAGCAAGUGUCUGCAGCUUCCAGAAGCACUGAGCAAAGAAAUGACGCGCCACAGAAUAUUUGAACAGAGGAAAUUUCACACACAACAAAGUCAAAAGGAGUGAAACUUGUCAGUGUGGGACCUAAGCAAAGAGAAUUUUUACAGAGCCUCCUGAAGGAAUAGUUAUUAAAUCUCUGGAGCUUACCGUAAAGGGAAGCACACAUGGAAAGGCAGCUUUGGCAUGCUGAGACUCUGAGUGUGUAAUUGGCCUUGUCCCAGAGCUUUUAUGGCCAAGAGUUUGCUAAAAACUUAAUGAAAUAGCAGUCAUGCCUCCUUUAUUGGAUUUGUUUGUUUGUUUUAGUAACUUACAAUAUUAAUAAACACAAAAUAAUGGUAAUUUUUCAGAUUGUUUUAUGAUUUUUUGUUUGUUCCAUGUCAGGUUUUAGUUUGUUACCUUAAAAUAGUUGAAUUAUAUGUCUGAGUGCUGUAGAGAGUCUAAUUUGUUUUGUGUUAUACCUUUCUUUCCAUCCCAAAUACAGCUGUUCUCUUUCAGAAUAACAUAAAACCCACCAGUAUAAACUAGUAAUCAAUAUUUCCUUCAGGAGGCUCUUCAACAGGUCCUUAUUUUGCUGCUUCAGUACAGAAACUCUCGACACGUGAUAGUCACAGGCGAGGGAGAAGGUGCCGAGUAAUCAUGAGUCAGCUUUUUGGGAGUUAAGCAACUUCCUAUCUCUCAAGUGGCUGCUUCUGUUUCACGAGGUCUCCUGUGCUCUCCGCAGUUUUCAAGUGACUGUGCAGGGUUUCUCUUGGACAUGAGCUCUUCUAAUGAAACGUCUCAAAGCAGGGGAACUUCCCUUGCUGGGAGAUAAUGACCCUUAGUAGAUCGCAUUCUGCAAUCCUGUUUGGCACCAGUGCUUUUCAGGCCAUGGUCACCAAAUUAGUUUUUAGAAAAACAAUCAGAUAUAGGUUCUUUAAUUCUUCAAGUUAGGUGUUUCACUUAAAUACUCUGAAUUUUCUUUUUAAACCGAACUUCUAAAGUUCACUUUAAAUUCCAAAAGAGCUGUUUGGGAGAGCCCGGAGGCUGUUAGGAAGAGAUGUUUGUUUUUGUUCUAAGUAAUUUUAGCAACAGUUGAGAAGCCCACUUGGUUGCCUUCUCAGUAACACUUUACCCUUCCACCUGAUGAAAUUCACUGUAUGUCCUUGUCUUCUGCACUGUCCUUUGUGUCUGUAAAUCGUAAUAUAUGAUCACUUGCAUGUGAAAUAGAUUCAGAGCUUGCCCAAGGAGCCUUUCAGAUGUAGUUAGGAAAAGGUGGUGACAGCUCUGCUCUUUCUGCCAGUAUUAUUGAGCUGAAUAAAGUACCAAGAGCUGAAAA